CCGGGGGCGGGGCUUCAGGCUUUAGGACCUGAACCAGUGUUGGAGUUACUGGAGCUGGGGUUGAAGUUGGGACUGAGGCUGGACCAGGGGCUCCUGGGACAUCCGUUCCCACACCACUGGAGCGGGACCCGAGCAGGUCAGAACGAAGUUGCUGGAGACAUUGAGGACAAGCUCUGGCCCCGGGGGUGUGAUGACCAGACCCCAGGAGGCCUGUGGGCCCAGCAGGAACAGGAGGGGCAGCAACAGCACCCGGCCUUCGGGAGAAAGAGCACCAGAGCAUCAGCACCUCUCCUCUUGGCUGACCCUGGGGGAGGCCAUAUCAGCACAGUCCUUGAAGACCGCACCACCCUAAUCUGACACAGACUGGAACCCAUGGUUCUGAAGCCUGCUUGCCCAGUGCCCGGGCCCCAGGGACUCCUUCCAGGCUUCUGGCCUCCUGAUCUUAGUGCCUCUAGAUCCCAGGCUUCAGAGUCCUCCAGCUAUGCUGUGUUCAGGCUGUGGGCAUGUUCUCCCAAAGGCAUCAGGAAAUCCUCGGGAAGCAAUUCCCAGGCCUCCAGUUCCUGCAUUACUUCCCAGGCUCAACACUCCACCUCUACACAGUGAAUCUCCCCUCCAGCCUGAGGAUCACAUCAAGGCCAGAGAGAGUGCAACCUGGCCCAAAUCACACAGCAAUGCUGCUUGGUCAUCCAGACCUCACUCUGCCAUGCUGCUCUAGACCCAGAGGACCUUCAGGUUUCCAGGAGGCCUCCCCAGGGACACAAUGGAAAGAAAUGACCUAUUUUCUGGAAGUUCAAAAUAAAACGAAACAUCUGUCUGGAUCCAAGCCAGGCUGAUAAAGAA
Long non-coding RNA from Callorhinus ursinus (northern fur seal), 840 nucleotides. RefSeq lists it as uncharacterized. The record is from RefSeq and is a predicted model, not a curated record. Lineage: Eukaryota; Metazoa; Chordata; Mammalia; Carnivora; Otariidae.